This 198-nucleotide ribosomal RNA is filed under the name uncultured bacterium. Its description in RNAcentral is "partial 16S ribosomal RNA". It matches the Rfam family "Bacterial small subunit ribosomal RNA", at positions 328 to 539 of the family's 1533-position model. The record is from RNAcentral.
ACGCUCGACACCUACGGGAGUCAGCAGUGGGGAAUAUUGCACAAUGGGGGAAACCCUGAUGCAGCGACGCCGCGUGAAGGAAGAAGUAUCUCGGUAUGUAAACUUCUAUCAGCAGGGAAGAAAAUGACGGUACCUGACUAAGAAGCCCCGGCUAACUACGUGCCAGGAGCCGCGGUAAUCUGAGCGGGCUGGCAAGGC